AUGGUGAACACUGACGGUGAAGGUGCCGAUGCCGGGGGAGGAGACCCAAUGAGCGUCGAUGAGAGCGUCGGUGUCGUUGGGGCAGACCAGUGUGAAGGAGCCAGGUUGCAGGACAGCGGUGCUCCGGUCAGCGUUGAAGGGGCCAGGGAAGGACAGGUGCCGGUUUCUCACCCCGGCGGCGGAAUGAGGGUGCGAGGAGCCACUGUGGAGGAAGCCGAGAGCGAGGAGGUCCCAACUGUGCAGGGCAGCAAGGAGGGGGCCGAGGAGCUGCUCCUGAAGGUGGUGUACAGUGAGGAGGAGGCGUACAAGCUGUACUGUGACUACGGGCACCGCACGGGGUUCAGCGUCCGCAAGGGCAAGCAGUCCUACUUCACUGGCACCAAGAGGAUCAGGACCAAGGACUACUUCUGCUCCAAGGAGGGCCUCAAGGAAGCAGAGAAGCUUACCGACGAGAACUUCAACGACCCGCACACCAGGACCAAUUGCAGGGCCAUGGUUCGCUUCAGAGCAAACAGCCAGGGCGAGUGGAGGGUAAUCCGACUCGUGUCUGAUCACAACCACAACUUGGUAAGACCUGAAGAACGACACCUUCUGCGGUCUGCCAAGUCACUUAUAGCUGGGAGGUCAUGUUCUGCUGCGGAUGCGGUGUUAUAUGGUGGGUACCAGUUAGGGGGUGUACCUUCCCAAAUGGCUGCAAGCACUAGCGUAGCUAACAACGCAGAGACUCCGAGGCAAGAUUUGCUCCCUGGUUUUAGCAGCAUAACAAGGACAUCAGCCGUAGGGACCGGAGAGUUGCAAAGCAUUGUAAGCCAUCUAAAGAGCAGAGCAAAUUUAGAUGGAAUGUUUUACUGGGAUGUUCAGUUAGACCGAGCUGGUCGGAUGAGUAAUAUCUUUUGGCGAGAUGGUAGGAGCAGAAUGGACUAUGACUGUUUCGGUGACGUGGUUGUCUUUGAUUCAACUUACCGCUUAAACAAACAGAAUUAUAUAGUUGCUCCUUUUGUUGGUGUGAACCACCAUUGGCAGACCACUAUGUAUGGCUGUGCAUUAUUAGCAGAUGAUUCCAUGUCAUCUUUCACGUGGCUGUUCAAGUCUUUCUUGGAGGCAAUGGGAAACCGGCAACCACGAUCUAUUUUCACCAACCAAGACCAAGUUAUGUCAAAUGCAAUUGAGGAAGUGUUUCCAAAUGCAUGCCAUCGCAUUGCUCACUGGCACAUUCAAAAGAAUGCCGCUUCUCGCCUUGGUGCACUUAAUGCUUCUAAAGCAUUUAAUAAGAUGAUCACCAAGUGUAUGCAGGGAUGCGACUCAGAAGCAGAAUUCGAGGGAACAUGGGCUGCGAUGCUCCGUGAGUUUAAGUUGCAGGAUAAUAAGUGGCUGAGCAAACUUUAUAAGCUCAAGCAGAAGUGGUGUGGUGCUCUGAACAAGUGCACUUUUGAUGGUGGGGUCGAAAACGAGCCACAAUGUGACAGUUUGAGUAACAUAUUCACUUGCAUUGUUGAUAAAUCGACUUCUCUUUCCACAAUUGUUGCUGCUGUGGAUAAGCUGACUGAGGAUUGGCGCGAAAAAGAGUUUGAUGAGGAUGUGCGGUGUUGUCAAAGGCCACUUUCUUGUAUUAUAAAGCACAGUGAUAUUUUGAAUCAUGCAGCAAAAGUUUAUACACACAGAAUCUACAAGCUAUUCGAGACAUAUUUUCUUGACGGUUGUGGGGCCACAAAAUUCAAGGCACUUCCGUGUGAAGACAGUGACACAUAUCGGUUUGAGAUGACUAUGCAGGGUAGAGGGUCAAGAGUCUGCACAGUUCAUCUGAAUAUGUCAACAAUGCAACUCACUUGCAGCUGUAGUCAGUUUGAGACAAUGGGUUUACUUUGUCCACAUACUCUGAAAGCUCUUAGUAUCAAGAAUGUGGGCAAAAUUCCAGAAAUAUAUAUACUGAAGCGGUGGACCAGAGAUGCUAAGCAGUGGGUUUUCAACCCAAAGCAAUAUGAAUCAUCAUAUCAGGAGUGCAUGGAUGAUGAAGCUGGAUACUGCAACCAUGCUAUGAGGUAUGCUUAUGACCUUGUGAUGAAGAGUGAAGGGCAGGAGGAAUUGAGAAGAUCUCUUUGGGAGGCUCUUGAGGGUGGAGAGAAAGAAUUGGAGAAAUACCAAAAUGCUACACAGUAUGCACAAUCUUAUGCCACUUGA
RNAcentral lists this ribosomal RNA (2178 nucleotides) under Triticum aestivum (bread wheat). RNAcentral describes it as "partial small subunit ribosomal RNA". Lineage: Eukaryota; Viridiplantae; Streptophyta; Magnoliopsida; Poales; Poaceae. The record is from RNAcentral.